Molecule: unclassified non-coding RNA, 200 nt
Filed under: fungal sp.
Lineage: Eukaryota; Fungi
Description: partial internal transcribed spacer region
Rfam family: Eukaryotic small subunit ribosomal RNA (bases 1-46)
Source: RNAcentral
AAGUCGUAACAAGGUUUCCGUAGGUGAACCUGCGGAAGGAUCAUUAACAAAUCUAAAAACAGUUUUGCCUUUGGUUUGGCAUGUUCAGUGCAAGCUGUCAUGAUAGACCAAAGGUAUCACACACACACUUUGAAUGACACAUUUCAGAAGACCAAGAACUUAAAUGUUAACAACUUUUAACAAUGGAUCUCUUGGCUCUU